This is a non-coding RNA of Acanthosepion pharaonis, 92 nucleotides long. NCBI's taxonomy places the organism in Eukaryota, Metazoa, Mollusca, Cephalopoda, Sepiida, Sepiidae. The record is from the annotation of a GenBank genome assembly.
UACACCAGUUCCCAUAUAAUCACUCAAGUUAAACAACAUUGAGCCUGAUCAGUACUUAGAUGGGUGACCACUUGGGAAUACCAGGUACAGUA